UUUGAAAAAAAAAUUAAUUACAAUUAUUAUCAUCAGGAAAUAAUGAAGAAUUUUUAAUUUUAACGAGAAUUAGGUAGAUAAGAUACUUCAUGUUGACCACGAGAUCAAAAUGUUAGAGUUUUACUAGAUACUGGUGUACGAUGCUGAACUUGAAGCAUUACUGGAUUUGGGAAUCACGCACUCAAUUGUGAACUAGGAAAGCGCUUUCAAGGCACCUCGCAGAAAGAUAUGCAGAAUCAGAGAUGGAUGGCAUUGCAACAGCUAAAUGUUUUAAAAUUAUGGAAUUAUAUCCAAUUCGUUACCAACACAAAGCAAAAUGUUGUCAAAUCCGUGAUAGAGCUGAAGAUAGAAGAGAUAUCUGAUGAGAAAAUUCCCCUCCAUCUUUUUGGGAGGAUUGAAUUUGAUUAUUUCACGUGGAUGGUAUGACAUUAUUAUGAAUUCCGAGGAUCUUCGUAUUGUGAAUUUUAUUGCAGCCAUAAAAAAUCUUGAAUGUUUGAUGGUGAAACACUCGUGAAGAAACGAGACGUAGCGAGAAAUUUGGCAGUAAUCUGGUGGACUGUUCGUGAAGACAUACGCCCAAUUCCGGAUUCAGAAAAAGCCCAGAUAAUUUAGAAUAAUGCAGAUGAACUGGCGGAUGCCUGCAGAACAUUUCUAUAAGAUGACUUGCACGUAUGAAAAAUCUUCUAUCCGUUUAAACUCGCCAAAUCAAGGUUUUUUUUUCUUCUGAAGUGAUUUCCCUCUUUUAAUGGAAAAGUAUAGGUAGGUACAUUUUUCAAAACAUUCAUUGUAGAAAAUCAUUCCAUUUUAAGAUAUAAAAAUUCGUCAAAAAUUGAAAAAUGAAUUUAGGCAGCUGAAAUGACAAAUGCUUCGAAUCAUCUGGAUAUGAUUACACCAGUUCUUGGUCUUUCAGGGAGGUGGGGGUGGGGUAGAGUCUUUUUUUUGGCACUUGAAAUUCUCGUCAUAAUGCCCAGCUGUGGGGUCGAAAAUAGCUAAAGAGAAUUUCAAAAAUAUUUGCGAAAAAUUUCAAAAGUUCAAAGUUCAAUUUUUUCAAUAAAAGAGCGACCAGUAGGUACGAAAAAUUGACACCGGAUUCGAAUUUGCCGACCUCGAUCUCGAAUAAGCCAAAAAUUGGUCAUUUGAAACGCAUAAAAUACCCACAUUCAAACGAACCGCUAAACUUUCAUCACUUAGGCUGAAUGGAUGAUAAUGGUGUUAAUAAAAUUGCAUACCUGAUUUGCCGUAAAUACGAGAGGCAUUUUUGCCAAAGAAAAAAACUUAAAUUUGGUAAAAUUCGAAUAGAAAGUUGUUCAGGGAGAUUUUUUUGAGACGACAAAUUACAUAUUAGACAAAAAUAAGCGAAAAAUUAUUUUUUUUGAAAUGUAUUUUUUGCGAACUUUUCUGACUAAUUUGAGGUCGCUGAGAGUAAAAAUGACGUUCAAAUGGAGCGAUGGUAGUUGGAAUGUAUUAGGUAGUUUUUUAAAAGAUUUGGAUUCGUUAAUCUCAAAUUAAAGGUCAUCAUUUCCGAAAUGUUUUUAAAAAGCGGGGAGAGGGGAGGCGAACCGUGAGUCAAAGUGAUAGAUUUUUUUCUGAAUAGGUAUCGAAUUUUAAAAUGAAAUUUUCUCGAAAUAAAAACCCUCAGAGAUAUUUGACCGGUUUCACUACAAGUUCAUCAAGAUGUGAAAUUUUUUCCUCGUUAAUUUUUAAAAAUAUUUCUACUCAUACCUUUGGCAGUUUCUGUUGCAUUACGAAUCAGGGAUUUUCAAAUAACUAAAUUUUGUCAGUUUGAAAUCGAUUCUCAUAAUUAAUUUACUCGAAAAUUUUAGUUUACGAUUAUUUAUUGAUUACAUAUUAUGAUUUUAGACUUGAAAAACGAAAAAUCCAUUUCGGAUAUUAAAUCGAGCAGAAAAAAUUCUAUUUACCUAAUCGUAUUUUCGAACUAAUACAUAUAUAUUGUUCAUUAUAAACUUUCGAUCAUGGUAGAAAUUUUUACUGAUGAAAUAAAAACAAAAAUAAUUCCCUUACCUAUUCACUGAUGAAAAGAAAAAUUCAAGUUUACUAUCUUUCAACAUUUCAACAGUUUCCAUUAAAUUUUUUCAUAAUUCCAGAAUUUUAAAAUACAUAAAGGUGUAAACUUGAAAAGUUAUCUCAAGUUUCAUGUUGCCCCUAGUGACAGCCAACAAAGCAAACUUUUUAAAAUCAUAAACUAUCAACCAGAACUGUAGUAUAGGUUUGGAAAAAUGAGAAAAUUAUAAGGGGAAAUUUUACAGGACGGGUUAGCCAUUUUCUAGGAGUGUGUAUACCACUAAUAUUUUAAAUAGAUUUCCAAAAGUUACUCAUAAGUACUUUUAUUCUAACAGAACCCAAAAACAAAAUUUUAAGUACUAUUUACAAUGACUAAAAUGGUUGUUAUUUUUUUACCAAAAAAGGGAGGAGACGUAUCUCCAGCACCAUGUGCCUUUUAGAUAAUCAAAAGAAAUUAAAAAGGGGACAAAAUCAUUAAUAAUUAAAUAUUACAAGAUCAUUACACUGAUAAUAUUGAAUUAUUCUUGAUUAAUUCAUAAUACCUGAACUAUUCAAGAACAUUACUGAAAACUUGGAAUGAAAUUUUGAGUAAAUACAUAUACUUACAUGAGUGUUUGAGGAUGGAAAAAUGAUCUGCAAUUCACCCUCUACAAUUUUAGUUUUUGUUCAACUCUGUAGGUAUUACUGGCCAAAAGUUAUGAACGUUUAAAGUUUCAGUUUUUACAACUUUUUGAACUUUUGACCAGGUGAAGCUACGGAGUCGAACAAAAGCUCAAAUUGUAGGGGAUGAAUCAUAUAUCACUUUUCCAUUCUCAAACAACCUUUUACUCGCUCAAAAUUUCAUUCUAUUCCGAUAUUGUAGCUGAAUUAUAUUAUUGAUUGAGGUUCUCCUGGUUCUGAAAGCAUUCUGCUUUGUACAAAAGAUUUGGCACCAGGUCAGUCUUCGAUUGAUCAUUUUUCCCAUUAUUUCGCACAUUGUACAAGUUGGAGAAAUGGGCCGUAGAUUAUUUAUAUGAUGUAGAUCUUUCUUCCUUGGAAUAGGUCUGACUAUUGCAUUUUUCCAGUGAGGGGGAGGUAUUCCAAGCUUCCAGAUAGUGUUAUACAUAUAUAUGAAGAAGAAUAUGUGGUAGAUUUUUUAAGAAGGAGUUUGGAAUAUCAUCGCAGCCUGCAGCCGUGUUCUUACUUGUUGAAAGAGCAUAGUUGAGUUCGUUGAAAGGUCAUCAUCGCAGAUAUGCGGAGAUGAGAUUGCAUCAAAAUAAGCUUGUGUCUUAAGAGGUACAAUUGUGCUAGAGCUGUUCCGAGUUAGAUUGGAAAUAAUUACCAAUUGAGUCCAAACGUUUGUUGUCACUCACUACAGUACCAUUGAGAGACUCAAGUGAUGUAAUAUGGUGGUAUUGUUUUCCUUCACGGAGACAGUUAACUUUAUGCCAGAUUUCUUUAACUGAAGAUUGAGGACCAAUGUUGUUGACAAAUGUUUUCCAAGAAUCACGCUUACUUGAUCGGAUAGUUCUCCUAGAUAUGGCUUUGGCUCUUUUAUAAGCCAUGAGGUUUGCUGUAUUUUGUUGGUGUUAAGGGCAAGAAGUUGGUUGCAACACUUGCAACUGAAAGCUGGAGCAGGAAAGCAGGAUGGUUAGAGUGUGCAUUGAUGUGAAGGAUGAUAGCAUAAAGGUCGUCAAUGACUUUCCACUCGAUGUUGGCGGCAAUUAUUGGACAACACAGUGAUAGGUCUAUUGAAGAUUGAGUUCUGUGUGUAAAGUUGAGAUGAGUUGGUGAGUUAGAAUUCAAAAGGAAUACAUUUCCAUCUUCGAGCAGUUUUUCAAUGAUUUUACCUCUUGCAUCAGUUUUUUGAGAGCCCCAAAGGUGAUUGUGGCUGUUGAAGUCACCUAGAAUAACAAAGUUACUUACUAGUGAAUUGGUUGAGAAGGGAAGACAUAACAUUUCGAUUUUUUAUGUCCAAAAUCUGGUUUUGCUCCUUCCUCCAUCAUAAAUAAAAAUAUAACCCCAUCUCCAAUGAUUUCAGUAUACCUAAUUACGUAUGUCACUGGUAUUUAGCACGUUGAAAUUGUGAUUUUUGUCGGCAAAAUGACAUGAUACACCCCCCCCCCCCAAAUAGCAUGACUUCGAUUCGCCUCUGACUACAACUUACUAUGUUGACUACAAAACAUUUCAUAUAUCCUAUAAAAAUUCAUACAUUUCGAGCUCAGAAUAUGAUCAUACAUGGUCAAUUGGUCAUACAUGUUCAUUUUUUAAAAAAUGUUCCCCGCAUUUACACAUGAUCAUGGUUACACUAAAUGUCAUGUAUGAUCAUGUGGGGGACAAUUUUUCAACAUGAGCAUGUAUGGAAACAUCGGGUUGUGUUUUGACUAAAAUUGAUCAUGUAUGAUGAUUUAUGUUCGAGCAUACAUCAUCAUACAUGAUCAAUUUUGAUCAAACACAAAACAUACAUCAUCAUACAUGAUCAAUUUCGAUCAUGUAUGGUGGAUGAACUCGAGCAUACAUGAUCAUACAUAAACCGAAGUUUCCAUACAUGCUCAUGUUACAAAAUUGUCCCCCACAUGAUCAUACAUGUCAUAUAUGAUCAUGUAUGAUCAAGUAUGAUUUAGUGUAACCAUGAUCAUGUGUAAAUGCGGGGAUUUUUUUUAACAUGAACAUGUAUGAUCAUACUUAAAAUUCGAGAAUGUAUGAAUUUUUAUAAUAAAAAUAUUGUCAGUAUAAAAUAUAUGGGAUGAUUUGCUGAAUGGUAUAAGUACAUACGAUGUGCUAAGAAUGCAAGACAAAUGUGGAUAAAUGAAUUUCAGACAUUUUUCCAGAUUUAUAGACACUUUUCUAGAUUAUAGAAUAAAAUGUAUGAUAUAAAACAUGCAAUUUCAUACAAAUGAUCCAUACAUGAGCAUGUGGGGGACAAUUUUUUAGUAUGAUCAUGUAUGAAGUCGUCAUACAUCAUCAUGUAUGGCCAAGUUUGAACUUUUUUCCCCGGGUACUUACCUUUUGGGUUUUAAAACCACCUUUCUCCUCAUUGGGAUGCACAAUUUGCCUUUCAAAACGAAUGGCUUCUUUGAUAAUUUUCUCUACCUUACCCUGAACAAAUCCAUUCACUUUAUUCCCACGUUAAAAAAAUUGUUGUUGAUUGUAGAAUGCACAAUAUUUUUCUAGCCUUUAAUUGGGGCCACCUCUUGAAAAUAUGAAACCAUUUGCAAUAAGGUACUGAAAUGAAUUCAUAAUCGAGAUUAACAAGUUCAACUUACCAUUUCAUCUGUUUAAAAUCCAUGCAUGAUAUUGAGGUACUUACAAAAUAAAAUUUGUAAAUAUUAAAAAAAUGGCGGAUAAAAAUUUGUUAAAAAGUUGAAAUUACUGUAUAUGUAGUUGACACACCGGGAAUCGCCAAGUUUGAGCAAAAACGUCGAGAAAUAUCACAAUUUUUGACUCCCACCUUUUUUUUUUUUAAAUUCGAGCCUAUCACAAUAACCCUAAUUUUUUAACAAAAAUUUGGCUAAAAAUUGACUCUUUACAACACGAAUAUAAAGAAUCGUAUAUUUUUAAUACAGAAUAAUGUUAUAUACCUAUUUAUCACGGUGAAAAAAAAGAUAACUUACCUAUAUCUCGAGAUCUAGGUACUUUCUGCAGUUCGUAAAAAAAUUGUACCAUAUCGUACAAAUAAGAACGUUUUGUUAAUCUUAAAUCUUUUCUAAAUGAGAAAUCCAAACUACAAAAAAAAAAACAAAAA
Molecule: long non-coding RNA, 5746 nt
Organism: Planococcus citri (citrus mealybug)
Lineage: Eukaryota; Metazoa; Arthropoda; Insecta; Hemiptera; Pseudococcidae
Exons: 2
Source: RefSeq, a predicted model, not a curated record